This 510-nucleotide ribosomal RNA is filed under the name uncultured bacterium. RNAcentral describes it as "partial 16S ribosomal RNA". It matches the Rfam family "Bacterial small subunit ribosomal RNA", at positions 28 to 507 of the family's 1533-position model. The record is from RNAcentral.
GACGAACGCUGGCGGCGUGCUUAACACAUGCAAGUCGAACGAAGAGCGAUGGAAGCUUGCUUCUCUCAAUCUUAGUGGCGAACGGGUGAGUAACGCGUAAUCAACCUGCCCUUCAGAGGGGGACAACAGUUGGAAACGACUGCUAAUACCGCAUACGAUCUAAUCUCGGCAUCGAGGAUAGAUGAAAGGUGGCCUCUACAUGUAAGCUCUCACUGAAGGAGGGGAUUGCGUCUGAUUAGCUAGUUGGAGGGGUAACGGCCCACCAAGGCGAUGAUCAGUAGCCGGUCUGAGAGGAUGAGAGGCAACAGUGGGACUGAGACACGGCCCAGAAUACUACGGGAGGCAGAAGUGGGGAAUCUUCCGCAAUGGACGAAAGUCUGACGGAGCAACGCCGCGUGAGUGAUGACGGCCUUCGGGUUGUAAAGCUCUGUUAAUCGGGACGAAAGGCCUUCUUGCGAAUAGUGAGAAGGAUUGACGGUACCGGAAUAGAAAGCCACGGCUAACUACGUG